GAUGAACGCUGGCGGCGUGCCUAACACAUGCAAGUCGAGCGAACAGACGAGGAUCUUGCUCCUCUGUCGUUAGCGGCGGACGGGUGAGUCACACGUGUAUAACCUACCUAUAAGACUGAGAUAACUACGGGAAACCGGAUCUAAUACCGGAUAAUAUAUUGAACCGCAUGGUUCAAUAGUGAAAGACGGUUUUGCUGUCACUUAUAGAUGGUUCCGGGCCGCAUUAGCUAGUUGGUAAGGUAACGGCUUUCCAAGGCGACGAUGGGUAUCCGACCUGAGAGGGUGAUCGGCCACCUGGGAAGUGAGACACGGUCCAGACUCCUACGGGAGGCAGCAGUCGGGAAUCUUGCGCAAUGGGGGAAAGCUUGACGGAGCAACGCGGCGUGAGUGAUGAAGGUCCUCGGAGCGGAAAGCUCUGUUAGUAGGGAAGAACAAAUGUGUAAGUAACUAUGGACGUCUUGACGGUACCUAAUCAAGAAGCCCCGGCUAACUACGUG
Molecule: ribosomal RNA, 497 nt
Filed under: uncultured bacterium
Lineage: Bacteria
Description: partial 16S ribosomal RNA
Rfam family: Bacterial small subunit ribosomal RNA
Source: RNAcentral